Molecule: ribosomal RNA, 1369 nt
Filed under: metagenome
Description: bacterial LSU rRNA
Rfam family: Bacterial large subunit ribosomal RNA
Source: RNAcentral
UUAGGACUGGUAGGAAAAUCCGCCGGUUUUGCUGAAACCUGAUAGUAUCUGGAGGCUUCGGCCGAAGGAAUAGUGAAUGUAAGCAGACUUCCAAGAAAACCCUCUAAGCAUAUUGAUAUGGUACCCGUACCGGAAACCGACACAGGUAGUCAAGGAGAAUAUCCUGAGGUGCUCGAGUGAUCCAUGGCUAAGGAACUAGGCAAAUUAACCCUGUAACUUCGGGAAAAGGGGUGCCUCGCUGUAGCAAUACAGCAGGUCGCAGAGAAAUGGCCCAGGCGACUGUUUAACAAAAACACAUGGCUAUGCGAAAUCGAAAGAUUAUGUAUAUGGCCUGACACCUGCCCGGUGCUGGAAGGUUAAGGGGGGAUGUUAGCCGCAAGGCGACGCAUUGAACUGAAGCCCCAGUAAACGGCGGCCGUAACUAUAACGGUCCUAAGGUAGCGAAAUUCCUUGUCGGGUAAGUUCCGACCUGCACGAAUGGUGUAACGAUCUGGGCACUGUCUCAGCCAUGAGCUCGGUGAAAUUGUAGUCACGGUGAAGAUGCCGUGUACCCGUCACGGGACGGAAAGACCCCAUGCACCUUUACUAUAGCUUCGCAUUGACAUUGGGUAGAUGAUGUGUAGGAUAGGUGGGAGGCUUUGAUCCUGUGCCGCUAGGUAUAGGGGAGCCAACGGUGAAAUACCACCCUUUAUUUAUCUGAUGUCUAAUCCGCCAAAAGUGGAGACAGUGCGUGGUGGGUAGUUUGACUGGGGUGGUCGCCUCCGAAAGUGUAUCGGAGGCUUUCAAAGGUAUGUUCAGUACGCUUGGUAACCGUACGUGGAGUGCAAUAGCAUAAACAUGCUUGACUGUGAGAUCGACGGAUCGAGCAGGAUCGAAAGAUGGAUAUAGUGAUCCGGUGGUUCUGUAUGGAAGGGCCAUCGCUCAAAGGAUAAAAGGUACGCUGGAUAACAGGCUGAUCUCCCCCAAGAGCUCACAUCGACGGGGAGGUUUGGCACCUCGAUGUCGGCUCGUCACAUCCCGGGGCUGGAGAAGGUCCCAAGGGUUAGGCUGUUCGCCUAUUAAAGUGGCACGCGAGCUGGGUUCAGAACGUCGUGAAACAGUUCGGUCCCUAUCUGUGAUGGGCGUAGGAAGCUUGAGAGGUCCUGAUUUUAGUACGAGAGGACCGAAUUGGACCGACCGCUGGUGUACCGGUUGUGGCGUCAGCUGCAUCGCCGGGUAGCUAUGUCGGGAAGAGAUGAGCGCUGAAAGCAUCUAAGCGCGAAACUCACCUCAAGAUGAGGCUUCCAUUAAGGGACGUCAGAGAUUAUGACGUUGAUAGGCUGCAGGUGUAAAGGCAGAAAUGUCAAAGCUGAGCAGUACUAAUAACCUA